This 73-nucleotide transfer RNA is filed under the name Enterocloster sp. Its description in RNAcentral is "tRNA-Asn". It matches the Rfam family "tRNA". Rfam says of the family: Transfer RNA (tRNA) molecules are approximately 80 nucleotides in length. Lineage: Bacteria; Bacillati; Bacillota; Clostridia; Lachnospirales; Lachnospiraceae. The record is from RNAcentral. RNAcentral also lists the same sequence under 1 other name.
GGAUCCUUAGCUCAGUCGGUAGAGCAGGUGGCUGUUAACCACCGUGUCCCAGGUUCGAUUCCUGUAGGAUCCG